GCCGGGAUAGUCUAGUGGUUAUGACGUCUGCCUCACACGCAGAAGGUCGCGAGUUCAAUCCACGUUCCUGGUA
Molecule: transfer RNA, 73 nt
Filed under: Perkinsus olseni
Lineage: Eukaryota; Perkinsozoa; Perkinsida; Perkinsidae
Rfam family: tRNA
About the family: Transfer RNA (tRNA) molecules are approximately 80 nucleotides in length.
Source: Rfam by way of RNAcentral